CGGAGAUUAGCGCAGUCUGGUAGCGCACUUGAUUUGGGAUCAAGGGGUCACAGGUUCGAAUCCUGUAUCUCCGACCA
RNAcentral lists this transfer RNA (77 nucleotides) under Paraburkholderia sp. Its description in RNAcentral is "tRNA-Pro". It matches the Rfam family "tRNA". From Rfam's summary of the family: Transfer RNA (tRNA) molecules are approximately 80 nucleotides in length. Their secondary structure includes four short double-helical elements and three loops (D, anti-codon, and T loops). Lineage: Bacteria; Pseudomonadati; Pseudomonadota; Betaproteobacteria; Burkholderiales; Burkholderiaceae. The record is from RNAcentral.